RNAcentral lists this transfer RNA (71 nucleotides) under Albimonas donghaensis. It matches the Rfam family "tRNA". From Rfam's summary of the family: Transfer RNA (tRNA) molecules are approximately 80 nucleotides in length. The record is from Rfam by way of RNAcentral. Lineage: Bacteria; Pseudomonadati; Pseudomonadota; Alphaproteobacteria; Rhodobacterales; Paracoccaceae. RNAcentral also lists the same sequence under 5 other names.
GGCGACGUGGCGGAGUGGUUACGCAGCGGAUUGCAAAUCCGUGUACACCGGUUCGAUUCCGGUCGUCGCCU